This 318-nucleotide ribosomal RNA is filed under the name uncultured eukaryote. RNAcentral describes it as "partial 18S ribosomal RNA". It matches the Rfam family "Eukaryotic small subunit ribosomal RNA", at positions 1470 to 1796 of the family's 1831-position model. The record is from RNAcentral.
CCCUUAGAUGUCCUGGGCCGCACGCGUGCUACACUGACGCAUACAGCGAGCACUUUCCAGUUCCGAGAGGCUACUGGUAAUCAUCAAUAUACGUCGUGAUGGGGAUAGAUCUUUGGAAUUCUGGAUCUUGAACGAGGAAUGCCUAGUAAUCGCAGGUCAUUAGCCUGCGAUGAUUAAGUCCCUGCCCUUUGUACACACCGCCCGUCGCUACUACCGAUUUCGAGUGGUCAGGUGAAUCUUUCGGACUGUGGGCGCCCUUGAGGUGUUCGCGGAAAGUCAGGUAAAUCUUAUCACUUAGAGGAAGUAAAAGUCGUAACA